UACGUAGGGUGCGAGCGUUGUCCGGAAUUACUGGGCGUAAAGAGCUCGUAGGCGGUUUGUCGCGUCGUCUGUGAAAACUCGGAGCUUAACUCCGGGCGUGCAGGCGAUACGGGCAGACUUGAGUACUACAGGGGAGACUGGAAUUCCUGGUGUAGCGGUGAAAUGCGCAGAUAUCAGGAGGAACACCGGUGGCGAAGGCGGGUCUCUGGGUAGUAACUGACGCUGAGGAGCGAAAGCAUGGGUAGCGAACAGG
RNAcentral lists this ribosomal RNA (253 nucleotides) under uncultured Mycobacteriales bacterium. Its description in RNAcentral is "uncultured Corynebacteriales bacterium partial 16S ribosomal RNA". It matches the Rfam family "Bacterial small subunit ribosomal RNA", at positions 524 to 776 of the family's 1533-position model. Lineage: Bacteria; Bacillati; Actinomycetota; Actinomycetes; Mycobacteriales. The record is from RNAcentral.